GACGAACGCUGGCGGCGUGCUUAACACAUGCAAGUCGAACGGAAAGGCCCUGCUUUUGUGGGGUGCUCGAGUGGCGAACGGGUGAGUAACACGUGAGUAACCUGCCCUUGACUUUGGGAUAACUUCAGGAAACUGGGGCUAAUACCGGAUAGGAGCUCCUGCUGCAUGGUGGGGGUUGGAAAGUUUCGGCGGUUGGGGAUGGACUCGCGGCUUAUCAGCUUGUUGGUGGGGUAGUGGCUUACCAAGGCUUUGACGGGUAGCCGGCCUGAGAGGGUGACCGGCCACAUUGGGACUGAGAUAAGGCCCAGACUCCUACGGGGGGCAGCCGUGGGGAAUAAUGCACAAUGGGCGGAAGCCUGAAGCAGCAACGCCGGGUGGGGGAUGACGGCCUUCGGGUUGUAAACCGCUUUCGCCUGUGACGAAGCGUGAGUGACGGUAAUGGGUAAAGAAGCACCGGCUAACUACGUG
This 468-nucleotide ribosomal RNA is filed under the name uncultured bacterium. RNAcentral describes it as "partial 16S ribosomal RNA". It matches the Rfam family "Bacterial small subunit ribosomal RNA", at positions 28 to 507 of the family's 1533-position model. The record is from RNAcentral.